GGGGAGCAUCCAUAUGUCGAGAUGUUGCCUGAUACAAUCUUCCUAUAGAAAAAAACUGCUGUUUCCUGCUUGUAGUGCUUGAGCAUGUCCUGCAAGUCUCAAAUAAACAGUGACAAUU
This is a small nucleolar RNA of Lathyrus oleraceus (garden pea), 118 nucleotides long. RefSeq annotates it as small nucleolar RNA snoR104. The transcript has a single exon. The record is from RefSeq and is a predicted model, not a curated record. NCBI's taxonomy places the organism in Eukaryota, Viridiplantae, Streptophyta, Magnoliopsida, Fabales, Fabaceae.